Parus major (Great Tit) is the source of this 1620-nucleotide long non-coding RNA. RefSeq lists it as uncharacterized. The record is from RefSeq and is a predicted model, not a curated record. NCBI's taxonomy places the organism in Eukaryota, Metazoa, Chordata, Aves, Passeriformes, Paridae. The transcript has 3 exons.
GCCGACAUCUGAGGGGAAAUGAGAGAUAAAGGGGUGCUGCGCUUGUCCCAGUGCCUCUAAUUCGUGCGUGUGUCCGUGGAAACGCCUGCGUUAGUCACUGAGCAGGGAUCUGCGCUCUGGCAAAUGAAAUAAAUCACAGGGCCACAGAACGGUUUGGGUUGGAAGGGACUUUAAAGAUCAUCUAGUUAGAAUCAUGGAAUCGUCCGGGUUAGAAGUGACCUUGAAGAUAUCCAGUCCAACUGUUCAUCGAGCACAGUCAGUGUAACCCCUAAACCACAUCACCCAGCUCCUCCUGAACACCUCAGGGAUGGUGACUCCACCACCUCCCUGCGAACCUAUUCCUAAUGCUUAAUUACCUAAGCAGUGAAAAAAAUAUUUCUGAUAUCUAAUCUGAAUGUCCCCUGUCAGCCUAAAGCCAUUCCCUCUGAUCGUCUGAGUGCAGGCACGGCAGAGAGUGUUCCCACCCCCCUGCACCCUCCUCCAGGUCAGUGAUGCGGACAGCGAUGAAGGCCCCCCUGAGCAUCCUUCUCUUGAGACUACAAACCCCCAGCUCCCUCAGCCAUUCCUCAGAAGAGUUCUCUGUCCAGCACCUCAAUGUUCUUUUCAAAGUGAAGGGCCCAGCACUCAGUGUAGCUCUUGUGGUGUGGUUGCACCAAUGCUGAGAACAGGGGGAUGAUCUCUUUCCUGGUCCUGCUGGUCCCUGCAAAUAUAAAUCAUAACACUUGGCCUUUCUUUGCUGAUUAAUACUAUUAUGUUGUUCUAGUUAUUGUGGUGGGGGUUUUAAGGCAUUUUUGGGAGUAUUUUCUUAAACAUCUUCAUAGAUAAGCUUGACUCAGUAUAUAGACAUGGGUCUACUUCAGUUUCCCUAAACCAGUUUUUCAGUUGGACUACAGACUGUAACUAUGCACAAGCUAUCUUUCAAAAUAUAUGUUUAAAAUACAUAAUACUUCAAUUGAACAUCAAUAAAUAAUAUUUGAACUCUUGAACAAUUUUCUAUUCUUUGUGUGACAUGUAGAGUGCUGUCAAAUUUGCGUUGCAAAUUCAAUAUGACCAAUUUGCUUUCGGAUGCUGACACAGAAAGGCUCAAAAGAGAAUCCUGACAAGACUGGGUCCAUUGAACACUGCAGUACACAAAUACAUGGAACUCAGCAUUCCAGAAUACUGCAAGAUGUUGCCUUGCAUUUUUGUUUUGAGAGUUCUGCUUGUCCAGAUGAUCAGAUUUCUGCUUUCCUACCUAUUAUUGUGUAUCUACGUCAAUUGUUAGUCAACACUGAAAAUGAUAAUCCUGUGGGAGGUGAAAAUCUGGCACCAGUAUUCCCUCAGCAGUGUGGAUUAGGUUACAGCCCAUCACAUCACCGUACACGUUGUGCCAGUCUAAGAAGGAUUGAAAGAACAAUUAUUAAUAGAAUUAUGAAAAAAAACAAGGCCCAGUUUGGUGGGAUGUCAAGGAAAAAAUCCUGAUAGGAUCAAACCCUCACUGGCACCAGAAACACUUUAUUUUUAAGGACUUGGAAGGUUUCAGUAAGUGAAAGACUGACACCAGGUUGCUACAACAACAUGUGGAAGUCAUGUUGCUGGAGGCCAAAAGACUGAAAACCUUCCACUUUUCCCUACAAUCAA